Molecule: unclassified non-coding RNA, 307 nt
Filed under: Delfinachytrium mesopotamicum
Lineage: Eukaryota; Fungi; Chytridiomycota; Chytridiomycetes; Chytridiales
Description: partial internal transcribed spacer region
Rfam family: Eukaryotic small subunit ribosomal RNA (bases 1-46)
Source: RNAcentral
AAGUCGUAACAAGGUAACCGUAGGUGAACCUGCGGUUGGAUCAUUAAAAAUAUGAGUAUUAAUCUGGGGGUUUCCCCUAGAUUAAUUACUAAACCCAACCCCUUUGUGAACUGUAAACGUACUUUGGCAGCCCUCCAAAAUUCUUUCGCAAGAAAGAAUGGGCUAUCAAUCAUGUUAAACACCUGUUUUAUUAUCUAUAGUAUUAAUGAGCAGCGAAAAGACUCCACUUGCGUGGGUUGCUUCAAAGCUACAUUUCUUUAUUGAAAUGAUUUGAAAACAACUUUUGACAACGGAUCUCUUGGCUCUC